GUAGGGAAUAUUGGACAAUGGGCGAAAGCCUGAUCCAGCCAUGCCGCGUGGUAGAUGAAGGCCCUCUGGGUUGUAAAUACCUUUUAUCUGGGAAGAAAUAUCUCGUUCUCGAGAAACUGACGGUACCAGAUGAAUAAGCACCGGCUAACUCCGUGCCAGCAGCCGCGGUAAUACGGAGGGUGCAAGCGUUAUCCGGAUUUACUGGGUUUAAAGGGUGCGUAGGCGGAAUUGUAAGUCAGUGGUGAAAGCCCCGAGCUCAACUUGGGAACUGCCAUUGAUACUGCUUUUCUUGAAUACGAUUGAGGUAAGCGGAAUGUUGCAUGUAGCGGUGAAAUGCUUAGAUAUGGCACAGAACACCAAUUGCGAAGGCAGCUCACUAAGGCGAUACUGACGCUGAGGCACGAAAGCGUGGGGAUCGAACAGGAUUAGAAACCCGGGUAGUCC
RNAcentral lists this ribosomal RNA (444 nucleotides) under uncultured bacterium. RNAcentral describes it as "partial 16S ribosomal RNA". It matches the Rfam family "Bacterial small subunit ribosomal RNA", at positions 354 to 796 of the family's 1533-position model. The record is from RNAcentral.